RNAcentral lists this unclassified non-coding RNA (391 nucleotides) under soil metagenome. Its description in RNAcentral is "partial contains 5.8S ribosomal RNA, internal transcribed spacer 2, and large subunit ribosomal RNA". The stretch from base 1 to 122 matches the Rfam family "5.8S ribosomal RNA", at positions 35 to 154 of the family's 154-position model. The record is from RNAcentral.
GAUGAAGAACGUAGCGAAAUGCGAUACUUGGUGUGAAUUGCAGAAUCCCGUGAACCAUCGAGUCUUUGAACGCAAGUUGCGCCCGAAGCCACUAGGCCGAGGGCACGCCUGGCUGGGCGUCACACGCCGUUGCCCCCCCAUCUACUCCUUCGGGAUUGCGGGGGGGCGGAUGAUGGCCUCCCGUGCGCCUAGCCGCGCGGUUGGCAUAAAUACCAAGUCCUCGGCGACGCACGCCACGACAAUCGGUGGUUGCGAAACCUCGGUUGCCCGUCGUGUGCGUUCGUCGCGCAUCGAGGGCUCGAAAAAAUGCUCGGCUCCGGCUGGGCUUUCAACGCGACCCCAGGUCAGGCGGGGUUACCCGCUGAAUUUAAGCAUAUCAAUAAGCGGAGGA